UACGUAGGGUCCGAGCGUUGUCCGGAAUCAUUGGGCGUAAAGCGCACGUAGGCGGUUCGUUAUGUCGGAUGUGAAAGCCCUUGGCUUAACCGAGGAAGUGCAUCCGAAACUGGCGAGCUAGAGUACGAAAGAGGAUCGCGGAAUUCCCGGUGUAGAGGUGAAAUUCGUAGAUAUCGGGAGGAACACCGGUGGCGAAGGCGGCGAUCUGGGUCGAUACUGACGCUGAGGUGCGAAAGCGUGGGGAGCAAACAGG
This 253-nucleotide ribosomal RNA is filed under the name uncultured bacterium. Its description in RNAcentral is "partial 16S ribosomal RNA". It matches the Rfam family "Bacterial small subunit ribosomal RNA", at positions 524 to 776 of the family's 1533-position model. The record is from RNAcentral.